RNAcentral lists this ribosomal RNA (490 nucleotides) under uncultured Lachnospiraceae bacterium. RNAcentral's name for it is "bacterial SSU rRNA". It matches the Rfam family "Bacterial small subunit ribosomal RNA", at positions 8 to 507 of the family's 1533-position model. Lineage: Bacteria; Bacillati; Bacillota; Clostridia; Lachnospirales; Lachnospiraceae. The record is from RNAcentral.
AGAGUUUGUAUCCUGGCGUCAGGAUGAACGCUGGCGGCGUGCUUAACACAUGCAAGUCGAACGGACUCAUAUUGAAACCUAGUGAUUUAUGAGUUAGUGGCGGACGGGUGAGUAACGCGUGGAUAACCUGCCGUAUACCGGGGGAUAACACUUAGAAAUAGGUGCUAAUACCGCAUAAGCGCACGGCUCCGCAUGGGGCAGUGUGAAAAACUCCGGUGGUAUACGAUGGAUCCGCGUCUGAUUAGCUAGUUGGCGGGGUAACGGCCCACCAAGGCAGCGAUCAGUAGCCGGCCUGAGAGGGUGGACGGCCACAUUGGGACUGAGACACGGCCCAAACUCCUACGGGAGGCAGCAGUGGGGAAUAUUGCACAAUGGGGGAAACCCUGAUGCAGCGACGCCGCGUGAGUGAAGAAGUAUCUCGGUACGUAAAGCUCUAUCGGCAGGGAAGAAAAUGACGGUACCUGACUAAGAAGCCCCGGCUAACUACGUG